RNAcentral lists this transfer RNA (89 nucleotides) under Kapaibacterium sp. (SeqCode). Its description in RNAcentral is "tRNA-Ser". It matches the Rfam family "tRNA". From Rfam's summary of the family: Transfer RNA (tRNA) molecules are approximately 80 nucleotides in length. The record is from RNAcentral. Lineage: Bacteria; Pseudomonadati; Bacteroidota; Eximiradiia; Eximiradiales; Kapaibacteriaceae (SeqCode).
GGAGAGAUGGAUGAGUGGCUGAAGUCAACGGUUUGCUAAACCGUCGUAGUGUUUAGGCGCUACCGCGGGUUCGAAUCCCGCUCUCUCCG